This 265-nucleotide ribosomal RNA is filed under the name Klebsiella pneumoniae. RNAcentral's name for it is "partial 16S ribosomal RNA". It matches the Rfam family "Bacterial small subunit ribosomal RNA", at positions 165 to 432 of the family's 1533-position model. Lineage: Bacteria; Pseudomonadati; Pseudomonadota; Gammaproteobacteria; Enterobacterales; Enterobacteriaceae. The record is from RNAcentral.
AAUACCGCAUAACGUCGCAAGACCAAAGUGGGGGACCUUCGGGCCUCAUGCCAUCAGAUGUGCCCAGAUGGGAUUAGCUAGUAGGUGGGGUAACGGCUCACCUAGGCGACGAUCCCUAGCUGGUCUGAGAGGAUGACCAGCCACACUGGAACUGAGACACGGUCCAGACUCCUACGGGAGGCAGCAGUGGGGAAUAUUGCACAAUGGGCGCAAGCCUGAUGCAGCCAUGCCGCGUGUGUGAAGAAGGCCUUCGGGUUGUAAAGCA